RNAcentral lists this ribosomal RNA (248 nucleotides) under uncultured Actinomycetales bacterium. RNAcentral's name for it is "partial 16S ribosomal RNA". It matches the Rfam family "Bacterial small subunit ribosomal RNA", at positions 85 to 334 of the family's 1533-position model. The record is from RNAcentral. Lineage: Bacteria; Bacillati; Actinomycetota; Actinomycetes; Actinomycetales.
GGGUGCUCGAGUGGCGAACGGGUGAGUAACACGUGAGUAACCUGCCCUUGACUUUGGGAUAACUUCAGGAAACUGGGGCUAAUACCGGAUAGGAGCUCCUGCCGCAUGGUGGGGGUUGGAAAGUUUCGGCGGUUGGGGAUGGACUCGCGGCUUAUCAGCUUGUUGGUGGGGUAGUGGCUUACCAAGGCUUUGACGGGUAGCCGGCCUGAGAGGGUGACCGGCCACAUUGGGACUGAGAUACGGCCCAG